UACAGAGGGUGCAAGCGUUAAUCGGAAUUACUGGGCGUAAAGGGUGCGUAGGUGGUUUGAUAAGUUGGGUGUGAAAUUCCUGGGCUUAACCUAGGAACUGCGCUCAAUACUGUUGAGCUAGAGUACUGUAGAGGAAGGUGGAAUUUCCAGUGUAGCGGUGAAAUGCGUAGAUAUUGGAAGGAACAUCAGUGGCGAAGGCGACUUUCUGGACAGAUACUGACACUGAGGCACGAAAGCGUGGGGAGCAAACAGG
This 253-nucleotide ribosomal RNA is filed under the name uncultured bacterium. Its description in RNAcentral is "partial 16S ribosomal RNA". It matches the Rfam family "Bacterial small subunit ribosomal RNA", at positions 524 to 776 of the family's 1533-position model. The record is from RNAcentral.